RNAcentral lists this ribosomal RNA (330 nucleotides) under uncultured Spirochaeta sp. RNAcentral describes it as "bacterial SSU rRNA". It matches the Rfam family "Bacterial small subunit ribosomal RNA", at positions 568 to 898 of the family's 1533-position model. Lineage: Bacteria; Pseudomonadati; Spirochaetota; Spirochaetia; Spirochaetales; Spirochaetaceae. The record is from RNAcentral.
CGUGUAGGCGGCUCAUCAAGUCUGGUGUGAAAUCGCAAGGCUUAACCUUGCAUAUGCGCUGGAAACUGGUGGGCUUGAGUUCUUGAGGGGAAGCUGGAAUUCCAGGUGUAGGGGUGAAAUCUGUAGAUAUCUGGAAGAACACCGGUGGCGAAGGCGAGCUUCUAUCAGAGGACUGACGCUGAGGCGCGAAAGCGUGGGGAGCAAACAGGAUUAGAUACCCUGGUAGUCCACGCUGUAAACGAUGUGCACUAGGCGUGGGGCCCGUACGGGUUCUGUGCCGUAGCUAACGUGUUAAGUGCACCGCCUGGGGAGUAUGCUCGCAAGGGUGAA